UUUAUUUCCGUUUUUAGUUGUUAGAAAAGAAAAAGAAAGCAAAAAUACAAAAAAAUGAGUUGUGCCACGACCAAAACUAAGGCGUUGAGUGGGAGGCAACCCACUUUUUUUUACGAUAUUUUAUUUUUUUUGUUUAGUAUACAGAGAUGAGAGAAUUGAAACCAAGGAUAAUAUCAUGUCCAAGGAAGCAAUCAAGUUUGAAAAACGACCUGUGUAAGUUAGGUACAAUAUCAGGUAGGAAAAUGGGUUGAAAAAUACAUCAAAUAUGUGAAUUAUGGUGUCGCUGUGUCGUGAUGUGUAGUCAAACCACAAUUAUCAAUUACCAGUGAAUCAUCGCAAUUUCACCGCAUCGUGGUGUAAAGUUAAAACACAAAAAAUGUUUCAAUUUUCAUGAUCACCGCGACGCGGUGGGGGACCAAUUUGCAAUUGUCAUGAGAUUGAAUGUGAGGUGGGGGGCCAUUUUUGAAUUUUUUAUUUAUUAUUCUGCUGGGUUCAACCCGACCGACCCGGACUCAAACUACUCCACUUUAUAACCCUAAACCCUCUGACUCUGUGAUUCUCUAACCUUAAGCACCGCCCACCCACCCCCAUAAUAAGAAUUUCUCUCUUUUUCUUCACUUUCAAUUCUUUCACUCAACACAACUAAGACACCAUGGAGCAGAGAUAACCAAAAGGCAAGGGAAAGACUGGUACUUCUGAGACAACUAGGAAAUGAAGCAGGCAACCAGAAAGGCAAAUUGAUAGGGUGCCACGUGCUCCACCAGUGCCGCGCGGUCAGUCAAGGAGAUUUGGAUUUAAGGUAGUCAGACAAGCAUGCAAAAAGUGGUAUACUAAACACCUCGACACAAAAUACAUCAUAAGGUGAAGGUUCGUGGCAAAGUGGUCAGAUUUACAACUGCAGACAUAAAUGAUUUGCUGGGAGUUCCUGAAGCUGAUGCAAACCAGUUUAGGCAGCUGAUUGUCACUCCUCUAUGCUCAUAUUAGACACUUGUUGUGUGGUACUCGUUCGGCUAUGAGGUGGACAAAGACAGCAAGGCAUAGAUCUUCAUUCUUCCUUCCCGUAUGCACAAAUAAACUAGGAGGCACGUAUAUGGGGACGAAUUGCUUACCAUUGCCUUAUUCAAGGCAAAUAUAUGACAGAAGUUACAAGUGAUCGGGUAUGCUUGAUUUAUGCUCUCAUAUGCAAUGAUAUUGACAUUAAUGUAGGCCAUCUGAUCUUUUCUGCUAUGAAGAAGGCGUGCUACCAUGAGGGGCGCAGAUAUUGCUUGGAGGUUUGUUGACUUGGUUUUUAAGGAGGCACCGAGUAGAGGAGGAGGGGUUAGACUACAAACCAGUGGUGGAUGCUUGCCCUAUUGAUGUCACUACAGUUAGGUGCACAGCUGGAGCUCAGGGAUCGAUCCUUACAAUGUCCGAGCGUCAAGGUCGGACUGAUGAAAUCACUGCUAGAAUGUAUGGAUUAUAGAUGCUGCAGCUGUGGGUUGGGAGAGAGCAACCACCAAUAAAGAGAUUCGUACUGUGGAGCUGGAUUACCCCUUGGGCCAUCAUGCCUGGACACUACUGAGGAUUAGUGCCAAAUUUUGUGGAGCCGGUUGAUGAUGAUAUGCCGAUAGAUGAGGAGCGACAAUGGUGUGACUCAGAUAUUGAUUCAAAUGUUGAUGAGCAGCCCAAUGAAGAAGAUGUAGAUGAUGAUGAGGAAGAUGAUGCCGGCGAUGAUGCCGAUGACACAAAUGAUGAUAUGGCUGAGGCCUAAAUAGGGAGUGUUCAGCUACCUCACCAUUUGAGCUUAUUUGUAAGCACUGAGACAGUGCUUCAUUUAAGUGUGGGGUGGUUGUAUCUCGCAUCUUCUUCUCUUUAUCUUGUUAUUUUGUUAGAUAAUUUUUAUUUCUGUUUUUGGGAUGUUUUAAGUUUUAUUUUUCUGUCGGGAUGUUGAACAUAGCCAUUUCUAGCUAUUCGAAACAGUAUGUUUGUAAUAGUUAGUAAUGAUUUAGUAAUGUUUUUUUUUUUAAGUUUAAA
Capsicum annuum is the source of this 2013-nucleotide long non-coding RNA. RefSeq lists it as uncharacterized. The record is from RefSeq and is a predicted model, not a curated record. The transcript is spliced from 2 exons. Lineage: Eukaryota; Viridiplantae; Streptophyta; Magnoliopsida; Solanales; Solanaceae.